CAGGACACAGGCAAGCUCACAAGAAACUGCCUCGUAGGGCUGAGUGAAAUUUGCUGAUAGAGCUGCAGAAUCACAUUCCUCAAAGACAGGAAGGAGCUUAACGGAGAGGCCUGAUGGGAUUUGGAGAGCUGCCUGUUUCCUCUGCACUGCAGGAUGGGAUUGAGCGUGCCCCUGGCUGAGGAAGGAGGGCACAAGGACGCUGCGGCCGACAGGCCAGUUUCCAUAGGCAAGCCGUGGCUCAGCUGGCUCUUCCGCUCCAAGUCUCACAAGGCUGCAAUCAAGGUGUCAGCCUGGGCUACAGUGUGAUC
This 308-nucleotide long non-coding RNA is filed under the name Homo sapiens (human). Its description in RNAcentral is "non-protein coding lnc-LMO2-1:3". The record is from RNAcentral. Lineage: Eukaryota; Metazoa; Chordata; Mammalia; Primates; Hominidae.